RNAcentral lists this ribosomal RNA (784 nucleotides) under uncultured Bacillota bacterium. RNAcentral describes it as "bacterial SSU rRNA". It matches the Rfam family "Bacterial small subunit ribosomal RNA", at positions 553 to 1337 of the family's 1533-position model. Lineage: Bacteria; Bacillati; Bacillota. The record is from RNAcentral.
AUUGGGCGUAAAGCGAGCGCAGGCGGUUUAAUAAGUCUGAAGUUAAAGGCAGUGGCUUAACCAUUGUUCGCUUUGGAAACUGUUAAACUUGAGUGCAGAAGGGGAGAGUGGAAUUCCAUGUGUAGCGGUGAAAUGCGUAGAUAUAUGGAGGAACACCGGUGGCGAAAGCGGCUCUCUGGUCUGUAACUGACGCUGAGGCUCGAAAGCGUGGGGAGCAAACAGGAUUAGAUACCCUGGUAGUCCACGCCGUAAACGAUGAGUGCUAGGUGUUAGGCCCUUUCCGGGGCUUAGUGCCGCAGCUAACGCAUUAAGCACUCCGCCUGGGGAGUACGACCGCAAGGUUGAAACUCAAAGGAAUUGACGGGGGCCCGCACAAGCGGUGGAGCAUGUGGUUUAAUUCGACGCAACGCGAAGAACCUUACCAGGUCUUGACAUCUAGUGCAAUCUGUAGAGAUACGGAGUUCCCUUCGGGGACGCUAAGACAGGUGGUGCAUGGCUGUCGUCAGCUCGUGUCGUGAGAUGUUGGGUUAAGUCCCGCAACGAGCGCAACCCUUGUUAUUAGUUGCCAGCAUUAAGUUGGGCACUCUAAUGAGACUGCCGGUGACAAACCGGAGGAAGGUGGGGAUGACGUCAAGUCAUCAUGCCCCUUAUGACCUGGGCUACACACGUGCUACAAUGGCAGUCAUACAGAGGGAAGCAAAGCUGUGAAGCAGAGCAAAUCCCUAAAAGCUGUCCCAGUUCAGAUUGCAGGCUGCAACUCGCCUGCAUGAAGUCGGAAUUGCUA